Molecule: ribosomal RNA, 325 nt
Filed under: Sphingomonas sp. '13.5 MW-7'
Lineage: Bacteria; Pseudomonadati; Pseudomonadota; Alphaproteobacteria; Sphingomonadales; Sphingomonadaceae
Description: bacterial SSU rRNA
Rfam family: Bacterial small subunit ribosomal RNA
Source: RNAcentral
GGAGUGGCGCACGGGUGCGUAACGCGUGGGAAUCUGCCCUUGGGUCUGGGAUAACAGUUGGAAACGACUGCUAAUACCGGAUGAUAUCGCGAGAUCAAAGAUUUAUCGCCCGAGGAUGAGCCCGCGUUGGAUUAGCUAGUUGGUGGGGUAAAGGCCUACCAAGGCGACGAUCCUUAGCUGGUCUGAGAGGAUGAUCAGCCACACUGGGACUGAGACACGGCCCAGACUCCUACGGGAGGCAGCAGUGGGGAAUAUUGGACAAUGGGCGAAAGCCUGAUCCAGCAAUGCCGCGUGAGUGAUGAAGGCCUUAGGGUUGUAAAGCUUU